AUUGAACGCUGGCGGCAUGCCUUACACAUGCAAGUCGAACGGCAGCACGGGUGCUUGCACCUGGUGGCGAGUGGCGAACGGGUGAGUAAUACAACGGAACAUGUCCUGUAGUGGGGGAUAGCCCGGCGAAAGCCGGAUUAAUACCGCAUACGAUCUACGGAUGAAAGCGGGGGCCCUUCGGGCCUCGCGCUAUCGGGUUGGCCGAUGGCUGAUUAGCUAGUUGGUGGGGUAAAGGCCUACCAAGGCGACGAUCAGUAGCUGGUCUGAGAGGACGACCAGCCACACUGGGACUGAGACACGGCCCAGACUCCUACGGGAGGCAGCAGUGGGGAAUUUUGGACAAUGGGCGAAAGCCUGAUCCAGCAAUGCCGCGUGUGUGAAGAAGGCCUUCGGGUUGUAAAGCACUUUUGUCCGGAAAGAAAUCCUUGGCCCUAAUACGGUCGGGGGAUGACGGUACCGGAAGAAUAAGCACCGGCUAACUACGUG
This 486-nucleotide ribosomal RNA is filed under the name uncultured bacterium. Its description in RNAcentral is "partial 16S ribosomal RNA". It matches the Rfam family "Bacterial small subunit ribosomal RNA", at positions 30 to 507 of the family's 1533-position model. The record is from RNAcentral.